This 717-nucleotide ribosomal RNA is filed under the name Peribacillus frigoritolerans. RNAcentral describes it as "bacterial SSU rRNA". It matches the Rfam family "Bacterial small subunit ribosomal RNA", at positions 162 to 863 of the family's 1533-position model. Lineage: Bacteria; Bacillati; Bacillota; Bacilli; Caryophanales; Bacillaceae. The record is from RNAcentral.
GCUAAUACCGGAUACGUUCUUUUCUCGCAUGAGAGAAGAUGGAAAGACGGUUUACGCUGUCACUUAUAGAUGGGCCCGCGGCGCAUUAGCUAGUUGGUGAGGUAAUGGCUCACCAAGGCGACGAUGCGUAGCCGACCUGAGAGGGUGAUCGGCCACACUGGGACUGAGACACGGCCCAGACUCCUACGGGAGGCAGCAGUAGGGAAUCUUCCGCAAUGGACGAAAGUCUGACGGAGCAACGCCGCGUGAACGAAGAAGGCCUUCGGGUCGUAAAGUUCUGUUGUUAGGGAAGAACAAGUACCAGAGUAACUGCUGGUACCUUGACGGUACCUAACCAGAAAGCCACGGCUAACUACGUGCCAGCAGCCGCGGUAAUACGUAGGUGGCAAGCGUUGUCCGGAAUUAUUGGGCGUAAAGCGCGCGCAGGUGGUUCCUUAAGUCUGAUGUGAAAGCCCACGGCUCAACCGUGGAGGGUCAUUGGAAACUGGGGAACUUGAGUGCAGAAGAGGAAAGUGGAAUUCCAAGUGUAGCGGUGAAAUGCGUAGAGAUUUGGAGGAACACCAGUGGCGAAGGCGACUUUCUGGUCUGUAACUGACACUGAGGCGCGAAAGCGUGGGGAGCAAAACAGGAUUAGAUACCCUGGUAGUCCACGCCGUAAACGAUGAGUGCUAAGUGUUAGAGGGUUUCCGCCCUUUAGUGCUGCAGCUAACGCAUUAA